Molecule: ribosomal RNA, 558 nt
Filed under: Trichoderma sp. FDNR40
Lineage: Eukaryota; Fungi; Ascomycota; Sordariomycetes; Hypocreales; Hypocreaceae
Description: SSU rRNA
Rfam family: Eukaryotic small subunit ribosomal RNA
Source: RNAcentral
UGGAAGGGGUGUAUUUAUUAGAUUAAAAACCAAUGCCCCUCGGGGCUCUCUGGUGAAUCAUGAUAACUAGUCGAAUCGACAGGCCUUGCGCCGGCGAUGGCUCAUUCAAAUUUCUUCCCUAUCAACUUUCGAUGUUUGGGUCUUGUCCAAACAUGGUGGCAACGGGUAACGGAGGGUUAGGGCUCGACCCCGGAGAAGGAGCCUGAGAAACGGCUACUACAUCCAAGGAAGGCAGCAGGCGCGCAAAUUACCCAAUCCCGACACGGGGAGGUAGUGACAAUAAAUACUGAUACAGGGCUCUUUUGGGUCUUGUAAUCGGAAUGAGUACAAUUUAAAUCCCUUAACGAGGAACAAUUGGAGGGCAAGUCUGGUGCCAGCAGCCGCGGUAAUUCCAGCUCCAAUAGCGUAUAUUAAAGUUGUUGUGGUUAAAAAGCUCGUAGAUGAACCUUGGGCCUGGCUGGCCGGUCCGCCUCACCGCGUGCACUGGUCCGGCCGGGCCUUUCCCUCUGCGGAACCCCAUGCCCUUCACUGGGUGUGGCGGGGAACCAGGACUUUUAC